CUACGGGCGGCAGCAGCUAGGGAACUUUUACAAUGCACGAAAGUGUGAUAGAGCAAGCCAAAGUGCUUUUCCGUAUUGGAAAAGCUUUUGUCAGAUGUAAAUAUUCUGACGAAUAAGGACCGGGAGAGACUGGUGCCAGCCGCCGCGGUAAUACCAGCGGUCCAAGUCGCAGCCACGUUUAUUGGGUCUAAAACAUCCGUAGCUUGUUAAGUAAGUCUUUUGUGAAAUCUGGCAUCUCAAGUGUCAGGCUUGCAUAAGAUACUACUCAACUAGAGACUGGGAGACGUAAGAAGUACGAUUAGAGUAGCGGUCAAAUGCGUUGAUCCUAAUUGGACUAACAAUAGCGAAGGCAUCUUACGAGAACAGAUCUGACAGUGAGGGAUGAAGGCUAGGGGCGCAAAACGGAUUAGAUACCCCGGUAGUC
Molecule: ribosomal RNA, 424 nt
Filed under: uncultured archaeon
Lineage: Archaea
Description: partial 16S ribosomal RNA
Rfam family: Archaeal small subunit ribosomal RNA
Source: RNAcentral